RNAcentral lists this long non-coding RNA (1433 nucleotides) under Mustela putorius furo (domestic ferret). RNAcentral describes it as "lncRNA (ENSMPUG00000027245.1)". Lineage: Eukaryota; Metazoa; Chordata; Mammalia; Carnivora; Mustelidae. The record is from RNAcentral.
GCCUACUUCCCUCUCUCUCUCUCUCUCUGUGCCUGCCUCUCUGCCUACUUGUGAUCUCUCUCUGUCAAAUAAAUAAAUAAAAUCUUAAAAAAAAAAAAUCCAGGAUGCCUUGUGACAUUUGCAUUUCAGAAGAACAAUGCCUAUUUAGCAUAAGUAUGUCCCAUGCCUAAUCUGGGAUACACUGAAGCUUAAAAAAAAUCCCUCGCUGUUUAUCUGGUACUCUAAUUUCACCGGGUGUCCUGUAUUUUGCCUGGCAAUCCGAUUCCUUAAGCAACCGGAAGGCGCUCAGCACACAUCAGGCCACCUGGGUCCAUCGGGUUCCCAUGACACUCACCCGGGCCUACGAGGCUCCCCCUGGUCAGGAAUGAAGGAAUGCGUCCCUGAUGCCACCCAUUCCUGUUCUUCUCCCAUUUCUCAGAUUUUUGGUGUCUGCUUUCUUCAAAGUCCUAUCAUCCAUGCCGCCUCAUUCAGGAAGCCUUCCUGCCGCCAUACCCGCUGCUUGGAGAGGAGCGUUUGAAGGGGAACUGCCCAGGAAGCUUGAUCUGCGCUUGAGUGUUGCAAAGAUGAGCAAUAAAACUUUAUUGAAUAAGCAACAGCGGCUGAAAUUGACAUUUUCUUCUUCCAACUCUUGGUCUACCCUAGGAUUUCUCCAGUUCUGCACAUUGACAUUUGGGGUCACAUAAUUCCGUUUACGGGGGACAAUCCUGCACGAGGGAGUACGUUGAACAGCAUCUCCUGCUUUUGCCCACUAGAUGCCGGGAGCAUCCCCCAAGCUGUGACAACAGAGAUGUCUCCAGAUGCCACCAAGAAUCCCUUGGGUGGGCAGAAUCACCCUCAGCCGAGAGCCUCUAGUCUACUCUUAUCAUACCAGUGGCUACAUGUGCGGAGGUCUUUGGCCAUUUCAGGGACGGGGACUCAGUGCGGCCACAGCGGAACCUGUCAUCUCGAGUCUUCUCCCCACCCCUGCCCCACCUGCUCCGUCUUCAUCUCAUGACCCAACCUCCGCCUUUUAUUCUCCCAAGUCCUCUUUGUUUGACUUCCUAAAUACCUGCUCAACCUGUCCACUUCUCUCCAUCUCCCCUGCCACCACCUGAACCCAGGCCACCAUCAAUGCUUACCUGGAUGAUGGCUGUAGCCCCCUCCCAGGCACUGUGUUCUCUCACCCCUGCACCCUUACUCCAGCAGCCCGAGAGGGAGAGAGAGACAGAGAGCGCGAUCGAUUACAGGCUUGACUGGGGCUGCAGAAGCCCCUCCCAAGAAGCCCCACCCACACUGGUGCCACCGGAGCUGCCUGGGUGUCCUUGCAACAUGCCCGCUGGCUUCCUCGGGCAGCAGGUGAUCAACGAUCGAGCAGGGAGGGCACCAUGACUUUUAUGACCCAGUCUCAGAGGUGUUGGACAUCAUCACUUCUGCUGUAUUUGGUAAGAAACAAG